Long non-coding RNA from Eucalyptus grandis, 2583 nucleotides. RefSeq lists it as uncharacterized. The record is from RefSeq and is a predicted model, not a curated record. NCBI's taxonomy places the organism in Eukaryota, Viridiplantae, Streptophyta, Magnoliopsida, Myrtales, Myrtaceae. The transcript is spliced from 4 exons.
ACGUUCUUCCCAUCUGAACUGAUCUGCAGAUUCAUUUAUCAAGGUUUUAACUAAAUCCAUGCGAUUAGAUUCUAUAGUGAUCAGAUUUGGAGAGCUUCAAGUACGACUGGGGUUUUAGCUUGAGAUGCCGAGGAGACCUUCACUGAUUUAGCAGUAACAAUCGCUCCCUUGUAAUCUCGACAUAUACCAGCUAUGGCGCCAUCCACAGAACCAUCAAUAAAGGAAGUAUCAACAUUAAUUUUCAGAGCUUUCUUCCUAGGUGUCGCCCAGGCCUUCAACUCAGUAAAGGUAGGAUUUUUCCUCAAUUCCGGUUUUUGAGAGUUCCAUUUUCUGUAGUUUGCUUGCGAGAAUAACGAUGAUUCAACCGUUUCUUGCGAGUUUGGAUGUUUACCCUGAAAAACGAAAUUGUUUUGGGCUUUCCAAAUGCUCCAUAAAGAGGACGCCACCAAAGACACAGGAAAAAUCAGCUCCUUCUACAGCAAAUUCCAUUAGCCAUGACUCAAUCCUCGUGAUCUUCUUGUAGUUGAUUUUGAUCUUCAUAUUAGUGUCAGCCCAGAUACCUUGAGUCCAGGGGCAACGUAUAAAGAUGUGCUCAAUCGUCUCCUUUUCCCGUUAUAGAGGGGGCAUAUCGGGUCAGGACCUCUUGUACAAUAAAAAUGUUGUCUUGUAUUGGCCAACCACACACAAAGGCACUUUGUUCUUCAACAAUCAAAUCAGCUUUUCUGGGUCAGAAUCUUUGGAACAAGAGUUAUAUGGGUUCUGUUUAGCCUUGGGUCAAGAAUUCCUGUUGCAAAGAAAGACUGGACAGUGGAGGAUGAAAUGGAGAAAGAUUCAGAAAAUGAAAAAAAGAAAAUGACUGAUUGAUUGUUCCAUAGGCAUAGUACAACGUAUCUGCAAGCCCUCGUGAUUUUUUCAAGAGAGAAGUCUUCGGAGGCAGACAGGAUAAGUACAUUGUCGUGCAUGAUAAUGCAGACAUGUUGUCAGGAAAAACUGAGUGGAUCUCUAUGCAUUAUGUUUAAGGGAAUAAAAGCUAAAUCGAUGGUUCCAAGGGAAUACUUGCACUCUUCUUGAUAAACUCAAGUGCAUUGUGGUCGAGGGAUAGGUUUCCUGGACACAGGAAUGCAGUUUGCAUAUGGAAUCUACUCUGCUUUGAGGAUUUGCUAACUGUCCAUCCGUUGAAAGAAAAGUCAUUCCCUUUGGGAGCAUCAGAUCGCUUGCCACAUUUGAUACAUUUAUCUCAGUAAAGGAAUGAUUCUACCAAAAUUUCUCAAAUAACUGAAGGGUGUAAAAAACCAAGAGGAGAAAUGAAGUAAAAAACAAGCACAAGUAGGCAAUUUAAAGGUGAUCAUUAAAUCAAUCUAGCACGAGCUCCUCCAAAAUCUGUCCAGAUAACAAACACGUGCAAUCCUUGGCCCUACCAUUACACUGUCACGGAUGGCUAGAUAUAAGAGGAGAAAGCAUUUGUCUUUCCGUUGCCAAUGUUUAUGAGGUGGACAAAACUUAUGGUAGAAGAGACUAAUUAGAUGAUACCCGCAGGCAAUUCUACUUUCUUCUAGGAGGAAAUUUUAGUGGCAGAAGCAGAGGGCACAGACUACUGACUAUGUCAUCUCAAUUCUCAAGAGUUUCUUCAACUAAUUUUAGUUCCACCUUCACUUUGCCGGCACUGCGUCUGACCUCUUCUGGCAGCGCCGCUCUCCAGAUUCGGUGUCGAUGGCCCAAUGCAUUCAAGGCUGCUGUUAGCAUAUAGAUCGUCCUUGGCUGUCAUUAGCGGAGUUCAUCAUUGGCAUCGCUUGCCCAUGCCGCGCUCAAGCUCCCGACUUUGCUCAUCUGUUUUUCAUUUGCCUGAGCUCUCAGUUGAUGGCCAUUGGGAUGUUGAGCUCACUGUCAAGGGUCGCAGCCACGGAUGAGCCACCUCACGAGCCAUGGACGAGCAAGGCUUGCGGAUGAGCCAACAUAUUUGUGCACGCGGUCAUGGUCAUGUUGGGAGGUUAGAAAUGAUGCUUCUUUUUCCUUUUUGUAUGAACUCCAUGUGGGGUUAUAUGUGGUCGGGCCUCGAACUCAAUCUAUGCGAGAAUUUCCCCUCCUGCGAUCCUUUCCCGUUUGGAUGUUGCUAAAUUUGGGGACGCGACUGUUAGACGACAUUAGAGUGUGAUGUGGGCAUAUUUUGUCAAUGUUACGAAUUCUUUUCUUUUCUUUUCCUUUUGUCCAUGGUAGCAUCCAUGUCAAUAAAAUGCCCUGACGUCAAUAGACAAUUAUAGCAGCUGGGUUUGGCCAAAUAUGGUGUUGGAAGAUCUUCAUUUGACUAUUUGUGCAAGUAGAAGGUUUUUUGUUAGAAAAAUACAAGUACCGGGAUUUGAUUAGAAAAAGCGUAGAAGCGUGGGACGACAACUGUUUUUUUUUCUUUUCUUUUCUUUUUUUUACUUCUAAUUAAUGACUAUUUCAUUGGAACGCUUUGUUGUUAUUUCAAGAUGGAGCAAACUUUUUUUAUUUUGAUAGAGCUGUAUUUAGCUCUACGAGAUCAUGUAAAUAGACCGCUUGUCCUGAAUAUUUACUUACCACUCAUAACAUGUCACUCUCCUUGAA